GGACCCGUGGCCAAAUUGGAUAAGGCGCGAAGCUACGGACUUCGAGAUUAUAGGUUCGACUCCUAUCGGGUCCGCCA
Molecule: transfer RNA, 77 nt
Filed under: Candidatus Pelagibacterales bacterium
Lineage: Bacteria; Pseudomonadati; Pseudomonadota; Alphaproteobacteria; Candidatus Pelagibacterales
Description: tRNA-Arg
Rfam family: tRNA
About the family: Transfer RNA (tRNA) molecules are approximately 80 nucleotides in length. Their secondary structure includes four short double-helical elements and three loops (D, anti-codon, and T loops).
Source: RNAcentral